GUGCAUCAUGAUCGUACCGGUGCUUCGCAAGAAGCAUAAUCGGGAAUGCGGUGCGGGAAUAUCUUCCCAAAUCCGCAGCUGUCCCUGCAACUGUAAGCGGAUAGUGCGAUGCGCAGGCCCUGUCAUCCAGGGCAGCCACUGGACAGGCCGAUUGCCGAUCCGGGAAGGCGUGCAUCAAGCGACGACCCGUGAGCCAGGAGACCGGCCGGUGCGCUGUUCGCUCU
This 224-nucleotide non-coding RNA is filed under the name Sphingobium sp. The record is from RNAcentral. Lineage: Bacteria; Pseudomonadati; Pseudomonadota; Alphaproteobacteria; Sphingomonadales; Sphingobiaceae.